CCUAUACAGAUUAAUUACCCGGGUUCUUUCUCUUAGUCUAUUGAUUGAUUAAAACAUUAUACAACCAGGGCAUAUACAUCAUGCAUUAAAACAAGAACAGGGCUUGAAAUGAAAUUUAGACUUGCCAUUACGUCCCAAGAUAUGCAAGAACUGUGGAUCAUCUAGAUUACAGUGCCGCUUGGAAUCAAGGCGUCCUUGAUUACAGUAACAAUUCCACUCUUUAUGAAAUAUCCAUCAGUUUCUCUCGCUGCUUCUUGCACAUUGUCACCAUUAAUGAUCUUCACAUCGGCUCCAAUUCGAGCAUUUUUGUCAAUAAUGGCUCUCUUAAUAUGAGAAUUCUUGCCAAUACCAAUUGGAACACUACCCUUUGCUGCCAGAAACCUCCUGUCAGCAUCAGUCUCAUAAUAAUCUGCUCCCAUUAAUAAUGUGUCCUCUAUGACUGCACCUUCUGAUAUGCAGGAUCGAAGCCCAACCACUGAGUGGUGAAUUUUACAGUUCUUAAUAACACAACCCUCACCAAUAACACUAUCUGUAACAUCAGCAUCAAGCAUCUUGGAUGGAGGCAAAUAGCGAGGUUGAGUAUAGAUUGGAGAUGAACGAUCAUAGAAGCUGAAAUCUGGCACUGGCUUUUUAGUUAUACCAAGAUUGGCAUUGUAAAAUGCCUCGAUUGUACCAAUAUCUUCCCAGUAGCCAUCAUAUAAGUAAGCUUGCACUCUCAUCCCAAUGGAAGUAGCACCAGGAAUAACUUCACUUCCAAAAUCAUUGGCUCCAGGAAACUUAUCUCUUAGAAGAUCUAACAUCACAUUUUUGCUGACCACAUAUAUCCCCAUACUAGCAAUAUAGGGCAACUCUUUUGCUCUCUCAUCAUCAAGACCUAAAAUUGUAGUAUCAA
This 892-nucleotide unclassified non-coding RNA is filed under the name Hevea brasiliensis (rubber tree). Lineage: Eukaryota; Viridiplantae; Streptophyta; Magnoliopsida; Malpighiales; Euphorbiaceae. The record is from RNAcentral.